Molecule: long non-coding RNA, 709 nt
Organism: Drosophila nasuta
Lineage: Eukaryota; Metazoa; Arthropoda; Insecta; Diptera; Drosophilidae
Exons: 2
Source: RefSeq, a predicted model, not a curated record
UGGAGGAGCGAUAACAACAUUUUAACGCCUUAUAGUCCAUUUAGGUAAAAGUGCCAUUUGCGUUGUGGGCUUAACAAGAAAUUAUGACCUCUGGGCGGCCCAGCCACCGGCUUCAAACCCAAAAGAAAGUACAUAAAAAAGUGGGGCAAGCCACCAAAUAAAAAUGAGGCGAGCGAAAAAAAAAACAAUGCCAAAAGGUGAAUUCGCGGAGUCAAGUUGGCACAAACAUUUGCAUCACGACUCAAGUAAAACUAUUUGUAAAAAUAAAAAAAAAACGGUAUGAAUAAUUUUGAGAAACACAUUUUGAUCAUCCUAAUAACAUGUGCUUACAUGAUCUUUUUACUAUUUGUCAUCAAUAUAGCUAGAAUCAUUUAUCGAAGAAUGCAUUAAAUUAUUUUUUACAAAAUUUUAACUAUCAAAAUUCGUUUGUAAUUUUAACAAGAUGUGCAAAAUCGAAAAUGCCUUUGAAAAAUAGUUCGCCAAUUGUGAUAUCUCUGUUAGCUCUUGUGAUAAUCGAUAGUGCAUUUAGCCACUGCAUCGAGUCAAUGCUGUUUACAUCCAGCAAAGAAGGAAUUUCAGAGAAAAGCCAGUCAACAAAAUGUUUGGAUUGAAAUCAAAGGAAACGUAAAGACAAUCAUGCAGAAAAUUAAAUAAAUACUAUUUAUAAAUAUCGCCAAGCGUAUAUAAAUAAAUAUCAAUAUAUUUAAAA